GAGCGCGAACGCAGUCCCCCACUACCACAAAUUAUGCAGUCGAGUUUCCCCACAUUUGGGGAAAUCUCAGAGGUCAGCACAUCCGGAGUGCAAUGGAUAAGCCUCGCCCUGGGAAAACCACCUUCAUGAUCAUGGUAUCUCCCCUGCUAAUGCUGCAGGGACUGCUCAUGUGCGGCCUCCUCUGCUUGUAAUUGGCGUGACCGUGAGGAUGAUGGCAGAGGCUGAUGUGAUAGAUCUUCCCUCCACCAUGGUAGUUCUGCUUGGGGCCUCUGUGCCUCCUCUCCCAUCUGAUGACUCUCAGCAGAAAGCACAGGCCACGAAGGUCCAUGGUGGUUUAAAACAGGAAUUAAGCAGAUCAGGCGCGCGGGAGAGGGCUUCUGUCUCGGACUUGCCAUUUUAGAUCAGGGACCUUUCUUCUAUAAAGACUGCCUGAAACUGGCAGAAGUCUCCCGGUGGAGCCAGAGGUGAGCCGCUAAGGUUGCCCAAGCCAGACCCCUUCUGGCCAGCAGUCUGAGCCCAGAGUGGGAGAAGGCACCCACUGCGGAGGCAGACCAGGCACACAGGAGAGUGCCAUUUUAGAACAGGGACCUUUUUCAAUAAAGACUGCUUGAAACCGGCAGAAGGCUUCCGGAGGAGCCAGAAGGAGAAGGUUCCCUGCACAGUCAGAAGUGAGCAGAGAGCCCCCACAAGCCUGGUCCCACCUGGCAGGAAGUCGAGCCCAGAGGGGGAUCCAGAGAUUUGGAACCCAGAGUGCAAUCCAGCUGCCCCACCUCCAGGGAAGUCUGUGGGACUUCCUUUGUAAUUAAACACAGAAGGAGGAGAUAUUCUGUGACAGUGAUCAUUAACAUUCUCAAAGUACCACUGCCUCACUAGACUUCUAGCAUAACAGUAUUUGACUUGUUUGGACUGCCAGUUUCUGAAAUCCCCGAAAGAGCACACCAAAAAUGUGUUGACCGGUACCAGCAACACAGUGUACCAACACAUAAGGCAAAUUAGAAGACAGGCAGCAGGGAAAAGAAAAACUACAUGCAACGUAGCAACUCCUCAGGAAAAAGACACACCACAAAAAGAAAACCACCCACCAGCUUGCAACAACAGUGACUUGGAAGAACUUCUGAGCCUUCCAGAAAAAGAAUUUAUAAUUGCCAUGAUGAAAAAACUGACGGAAGUCAUUAAGGAAAACAACGCUCAGAAGAAUGAAAUUGAGUCCCUAGAGAGGGAAAUGAAGGAAAUGCAGGAGAUCAAAGGAUUAACAGAAGUGCUAAAGAAUGCUGGGAAAAGCAGUGAUAACAGAAUAGAGGAAAUGGAAGAAAAAAUAAGCACUCUCGAAUACACAGAAAUAAAAAGAACCAAAACAGAAAAGGAAAGAGAAGUACGAAUGAAAAAGACUGAAGAAAGACUUCGGGAACUAUCUGACUCCAUGAGGAAAGGAAAUAUAAGAGUUAUAGGAAUCCCAGAAGGAGAGGAGAGAGACCUAGGAACAGAGAAAAUACUAAAGGAAAUAAUUGAAGAGAACUUCCCAAACGUGAAGAAGGAGCUGAAAAUUGACAUAAAAGAAGCAAGAAGAACACCAAACUUCCAUGAUGAAAGGAAAAAUACAGCAAGACACAUAAUAGUAAAGCUCCCAAGGAUCCAAGACAAGGAAAAAAUAAUGAAGCUAACAAGAGGAAAGAAACAGAUAACAUACAAAGGAAAACCAAUCAGAUUGACAUCAAACUUCCCCGAAGAAACACUACGGACAAGGAGAGAGUGAAGGACAUAGUCAACAGACUCCAAGACAACAGAUGCCAACCAAGAAUACUCUAUCCUGCAAAGCUUUCCUUCCUCUAUGAAGAAAGAAUAAGGACCUUCCCAGACAAACAGAAACUCUGGAAUUUCAUUAUGAAUAAACCCCCACUCCAAAAAAUACUACAAGGAGUCCUAAAUCCAGAACCUCAGAGGGACAAAUAAGAAUGAAAGAAGGCCAAAAAAAAAGUUAUUAAAAGAAUACAUAAAUAAAAUCAAAGGAAAGACAAACACAAUGGCAAAUACAGAUGCUAGCAUAUCAAUUUUGACUCCUAAUAUAAAUGGACUAAACUCUUCAAUAAAAAGACAGAGUCACAGGAUGGAUUAAGAAACAAAGCCCAACCUUUUGCUGUCUCCAGGAAACACAUUUAGCUACAAAAGAUAAAAAUAGACUCAAAGUCAAAGGAUGGAAAACAAUCCUACAAGCAAAUGGACGAAAAAAGAAAGCAGGAACAGCUAUACUUAUAUCAGAUAAAACAGAUUUCAAACUCAAAAAGGUAAAAAGAGACCCCAACGAUCACUACAUUAUGAUCAAGGGGACCAUACUUCAAGAAGAAAUAACACUCAUUAACAUAUACUCACCAAACGAAGGAGCACCAAAAUAUAUCAGACAACUAUUAUCAACUUUGAAAACAGGCAUCAGAGAAAACAAAUAUGUAGUAGGAGGCUUUAACACACCACUAUCAACAAUGGAUAGAUCAACGAGAAAAAAAAUAAGUAAAGACACUAAAGCUCUAAAUAAGGAUGUAGAGUGCUUGGGCUUAACAGACAUCUAUAGAACACCAACCCCCCAAAAAUCUGAGUACACAUUCUUCUCAAGUGCACACAAUCAUUCUCCAGGAUCAAUCACAUACUGGGACACAAGACAAACAUCAACAGAUCCACCAAGAUUGAAAUCAUUCCAACCAUCUUUUUUGACCAUGAAGGCAUCAAACUAGAAAUAAACCAUAAAAAGAAGGCAAGGAACUCUCCUACCUCAUGGAGAUUGAAACCCAUACUACUGGAAGACCACUGGACUAAUGAGGAGAUCAAAGAAGAAAUUAAAAAAUUCUUUGAAUUGAACGACAAGGAGGACACCAAUUUCCUAAAUAUAUGGGAUGCAGCAAAAGAAGUAAUAAGAGGAAUAUAUAUAGCAAUAGAGGCUCACAUCAAGAAACAAGAAAGAACUCAAAGAAACAACCUAAUCUCGAAGCUCAAAGAACUAGUAAAAGAACAACAAAAAAACCCCAAAACCAGUAGAAGAAAAGAAAUAAUAAAAACCAAAGCAGAAAUAAAUGAAAUCAAAACUAAAAAAACAAUCCAAAAGAUCAAUGAAACCAAAAGCUGGUUCUUUGAAAAAAUAAAUAAAGUAGACAAACCCCUAGCCAGGCUCACAAAGGAAAAAUGGGAGAAAGCACAAAUAAAUAGGAUCACAAAUGAAAGAGGAGAAAUCAGAACGGACACAGCAGAAAUCAAAAGAAUAAUCAGAAACUACUAUGAACAGUUAUAUGGAAACAAGUUCAAUAAUCUAGAGGAGAUGGACAAAUUCCGACAACUCUACAAUCACCCAAAGCUAGAUAAAGAAGAAAUAGAACACCUAAACAGACCAAUUACAAGAAGCAAAAUUGAAAUGCUAAUCAAAAAACCUCCCAAAAACAAAAGUCCAGGACCUGAUGGAUUUACAAAUAAAUUCUACCAAACAUUCAGAAACAAAUUAGUGCCUAUCCUUCACAAACUCUUCCAAAAAAUUGAGAAGGAAGGGACAAUACCAAACACGUUCUAUGAAGCCAACAUUACACUAAUAACAAAACCGAACAAGGACAACACAAAAAAGGAAAACUACAGGCCAAUCUCCCUAAUGAACACUGAU
Molecule: long non-coding RNA, 3634 nt
Organism: Talpa occidentalis (Iberian mole)
Lineage: Eukaryota; Metazoa; Chordata; Mammalia; Eulipotyphla; Talpidae
Exons: 3
Source: RefSeq, a predicted model, not a curated record